RNAcentral lists this ribosomal RNA (440 nucleotides) under uncultured bacterium. RNAcentral describes it as "partial 16S ribosomal RNA". It matches the Rfam family "Bacterial small subunit ribosomal RNA", at positions 338 to 795 of the family's 1533-position model. The record is from RNAcentral.
CCUACGGGAGACAGCAGUGGGGAAUAUUGCACAAUGGGCGAAACCCUGAUCCAGCGACGCCGCGUGAGUGAAGAAGUUAUUCGUUACGUAAAGCUCUAUUUGCAGGGAAGAAAAUGAUGGUACGUGUCUAAGAAGCACUGGCUAAAUACGUGACAGCAGCGGCGGUACUACGUAGGGGGCAGCCGUUAUCCGGAUUUAGUGGGGGUAAAGGGUGUGUAGACGGUGUGGAAAGGAUGGAGUGAAAUGCCGGGGCCUAAACGCGGGACUGCUUUGGAAACUGGUGAACUGGAGUGCAGGAGGGGUAAGCGGAAUUCCUAGUGUAGCGGUGAAAUGCGUAGAUAUUAGGAGGAACACCGGUGGCGAAGGCGGCUUACUGGACUGUAACUGACGUUGAGGCUCGAAAGCGUGGGGAGCAAACAGGAUUAGAUACCCGAGUAGUC